AUUGAACGCUGGCGGCAGGCCUAACACAUGCAAGUCGAACGGCAGCGGGGGAUAGCUUGCUAUCCUGCCGGCGAGUGGCGGACGGGUGAGUAAUGCAUGGGGAGCUGCCCAGUCGAGGGGGAUAACAACUGGAAACGGUUGCCAAUACCGCAUACGCCCUCUGGGGGAAAGGUGGGGAACUUCGGUCCUACCGCGAUUGGAUGCGCCCAUGUGGGAUUAGCUAGUUGGUGAGGUAACGGCUCACCAAGGCGACGAUCUCUAGCUGGUCUGAGAGGAUGACCAGCCACACUGGAACUGAGACACGGUCCAGACUCCUACGGGAGGCAGCAGUGGGGAAUAUUGCACAAUGGGGGAAACCCUGAUGCAGCCAUGCCGCGUGUGUGAAGAAGGCCUUCGGGUUGUAAAGCACUUUCAGUCAGGAGGAAGGGGUGAUGGCUAAUAUCCAUCAUCAUUGACGUUACUGACAGAAGAAGCACCGGCUAACUCCGUGCCAGCCGCCGCAGUAA
This 506-nucleotide ribosomal RNA is filed under the name uncultured bacterium. RNAcentral describes it as "partial 16S ribosomal RNA". It matches the Rfam family "Bacterial small subunit ribosomal RNA", at positions 30 to 523 of the family's 1533-position model. The record is from RNAcentral.